AGAGUUUGAUCAUGGCUCAGAUUGAACGCUGGCGGCAGGCCUAACACAUGCAAGUCGAGCGGUAGCACAGGGAGCUUGCUCCUGGGUGACGAGCGGCGGACGGGUGAGUAAUGUCUGGGAAACUGCCUGAUGGAGGGGGAUAACUACUGGAAACGGUAGCUAAUACCGCAUAACGUCGCAAGACCAAAGAGGGGGACCUUCGGGCCUCUUGCCAUCAGAUGUGCCCAGAUGGGAUUAGCUAGUAGGUGAGGUAAUGGCUCACCUAGGCGACGAUCCCUAGCUGGUCUGAGAGGAUGACCAGCCACACUGGAACUGAGACACGGUCCAGACUCCUACGGGAGGCAGCAGUGGGGAAUAUUGCACAAUGGGCGCAAGCCUGAUGCAGCCAUGCCGCGUGUAUGAAGAAGGCCUUCGGGUUGUAAAGUACUUUCAGCGAGGAGGAAGGCAUUGUGGUUAAUAACCGCAGUGAUUGACGUUACUCGCAGAAGAAGCACCGGCUAACUCCGUGCAGCAUCCGCGGUAAUACGGAGGGUGCAAGCGUUAAUCGGAAUUACUGGGCGUAAAGCGCACGCAGGCGGUCUGUCAAGUCGGAUGUGAAAUCCCCGGGCUCAACCUGGGAACUGCAUUCGAAACUGGCAGGCUAGAGUCUUGUAGAGGGGGGUAGAAUUCCAGGUGUAGCGGUGAAAUGCGUAGAGAUCUGGAGGAAUACCGGUGGCGAAGGCGGCCCCCUGGACAAAGACUGACGCUCAGGUGCGAAAGCGUGGGGAGCAAACAGGAUUAGAUACCCUGGUAGUCCACGCCGUAAACGAUGUCGACUUGGAGGUUGUUCCCUUGAGGAGUGGCUUCCGGAGCUA
This 854-nucleotide ribosomal RNA is filed under the name uncultured bacterium. RNAcentral's name for it is "bacterial SSU rRNA". It matches the Rfam family "Bacterial small subunit ribosomal RNA", at positions 8 to 854 of the family's 1533-position model. The record is from RNAcentral.